CUACAAACACUGCUGUGUCGUUUUGUCUUUCUGUGCAGGGUGGUGGGUAGUGAUGGGCAGAUGAAGCCCCAUGAAGCACUGAAGCUUUUCAUCCAAUUGGUUCACCCCAACGCGAAGCUUCAUGAAGCUUCAUUUGCUCUAGCAGGACACCUACUGGACGUAAAAAUAAUAGCUGGCAUGAAUUUGAAGAGUGUGGCAUUUUGCACACAGCCUGUAAAUGUCAACAACAAAAGGAGUGUGUAAAACAUGUAUAUUGUAGUGAUGGCAGUAUACUGUGUAUAUUUAUACUGGCAGUAUGGGAAAUGAUUAUUUGGAAAUGCUUGAAAUGGAAAUGAUCAUUUACUGUGAGGUGAGGUGUGGUUGGGGUGUGGACAGUAGUUGUGCUUUUGUAACGUUGAGGUAUGGACAGCUACACACUGAGGCUUUGAGCCUCAGUCCUGCCUGUUCACAUUUUAUUCUGUAAAAACUAAAUUUUCACUGCUUUUAUGACCUUUUAGUGGGGAGAACAUAGCUAGGAUUUAAUGAUUUAACAAAUCUUUUGAAUCCUUUGUCCUCCACAAUGCUAAAUGGCUGUGAGUCCUCAAUCACCAUGCUAACCAGGUCUUCAUCUAUUUGAGAUUGUUCUCCUGAGGAAAGACAAUAAAGACAAAGCACAAAUAUAAAUAUCACACACGUAACUUAUAACAGUUGUAUAAUAUUGUUAUAUCAUUUAGUAACAUUACUGCAUGCUAUAUUAUCAUUGCAUUUGAUGGCUCACCUGGUCUUGCUCCACAAUCGGUGUUCCCCUUAUUCUCAUGCAAAGCUCUGUAGUGCCUAAGCAUGGAUGAGGUGUUGCUGUUAUAUCCCAGCUCCCUGGCACAUAGCAAACACUUCACCUUGUACAAAAGUCAAGACAGCUCAACAUAAAUUGUAUUGCACCAUCAGUAUCAUGACAAUACAUCUUCUGUAGAAAUUUACAUACCUUGUUGGGAGGAAUAAAAUCAAAAUGUUCCCACACAGGGGAGGACAUCCUCCUCUUCUUAGCUGGCUCCAUUCUCUCCUGACUUUCUCUCCUCACUCUCAUAAACCUCCAAACUGUCUCCAGACUCUCACUAACCGCAACUCUCCAUCAAACACCCACAUUUUGAAUGAAGUCUGAGGGUUUAUAUCGCUGUCAUAUCUCGCGGCAAAGUUCGAACCACUUCAUGAACCAGUCACGUGGUACAGCCGGGCAGCGAGGCUUCGGACGUCAUCAUUUUCAGCUCCUCCCAUAAAUGAAGCAAGCCUCGAUACGCGCUUCGCGGAAACGCCCCCUCCAUUACUCGACACACGCUCCGAAGCCUCGAUACAGAACGUCACAUCACUAGUGGUGGGUCUCCAAGGACAACUUCUAACCCUGUUAAAGGCAACAUGUGGAGUGCAACUUGGCCGUGUGGCAUAGCUGGCUCUGGCCUUGGGACUGUGUGUUUUUAUACAAUUCAUAAGUGGGACACUGGACUGUUUUAUCUUUUAUCUCUUGAUAUAUUUUUCGUCAAUAAAUUAUCUUUUAGAAUUUUA
Long non-coding RNA from Astatotilapia calliptera (eastern happy), 1536 nucleotides. The record is from Ensembl. NCBI's taxonomy places the organism in Eukaryota, Metazoa, Chordata, Actinopteri, Cichliformes, Cichlidae.